This 497-nucleotide ribosomal RNA is filed under the name uncultured bacterium. RNAcentral's name for it is "partial 16S ribosomal RNA". It matches the Rfam family "Bacterial small subunit ribosomal RNA", at positions 28 to 507 of the family's 1533-position model. The record is from RNAcentral.
GAUGAACGCUGGCGGCGUGCCUAAUACAUGCAAGUCGAGCGAACAGACGAGGAGCUUGCUCCUCUGUCGUUAGCCGCGGACGGGUGAGUAACACGUGGAUAAUCUACCUAUAAGACUGGGAUAACUUCGGGAAACCGGAGCUAAUACCGGAUAAUAUAUCGAACCGCAUGGUUCUAUAGUGAAAGACGGUCUUGCUGCUACUUCUAGAUGGAUCGGCGCCGCAUUAGCUACUUGGUAAGGUGAGGGCAUACCAAGGCAACGAUGCGUAGCCGACCAGGGGGGGUGAACGGCGACGCUGGAACUGAGACACGGUCCAGACUAAUACGGGAGGCAGCAGUAGGGGAUGUUCGGCAUGGGGCAAGAGCAUGACGAUGAAGCGCCGCGUGAGUGAUGAAGGUCUUCGGAUCGUAAAGAUCUGUUAUUGGGGACGAACAAGUGUGUAAGUGACUGUAAACGUCUUGACGGUACCUAAGGAGAAAGGCACGGCUAACUACGUG